Long non-coding RNA from Lolium rigidum, 3720 nucleotides. RefSeq lists it as uncharacterized. The transcript is spliced from 6 exons. Lineage: Eukaryota; Viridiplantae; Streptophyta; Magnoliopsida; Poales; Poaceae. The record is from RefSeq and is a predicted model, not a curated record.
UGCGCCUCGGAGACUUUGAGCCCGACCCGGACGCCGUGUCCGUGGGCUUCUUCUUCCCCGCCGACGCAUCCCUCUUUGGCGGCGGCGGCUUGGAUCCUACCAUGAUCGGCAGGCUCUGAUACCACUUGUAGACUUUCUUCUCUCUCGAUCACACACACGAACUAGCGCACGAACAGAGAGGAGACAAAGACAGGUGCUUGUUGCUGUGUAAUGCCUACAGCUUUUCUGUUCUCUUCUUCCUUUUAUUCAGCAAGACAACGAUCGUGCUAGCUCACACGUUGCCCAUGAUGAUCGUGCCAUCCCACGACCGAGCACACGAGCUCACAAAGCAAGGAUCGGAUCAGAAACAACGACCAAAUCCUAACUUAUCUGUUCCUAGCAAAUAGCUGACGGAACAACUAACUAAACUAUCUGACCAAGCUAAAACUAACUGACGAAACUGACGAAAAACAGAAAUUGACACUUAUUACUGACACACUAGAUUAACUAACACCGUGAUACUCAGCUUCUCAGAGAAGCUCAGCGACACCCCUUGCUGACGGUUUGAUCUUUCACUUUGUUGCUUUUCUACCGUCCAAUCUCACUGUUUGACGAAAACUUUUGUCACACCGCUGGUUAGUUUGGUAGAAUAGGUGCCAUUGAAUGUUACUCCCAGUUGCCUAUCAUGUAGGAAUUUUGAGGUAUUAUUUUGUGCUAUUGAUGAUAAUCCACUGUAUUAUAAUUAAUCUGUGUUGUAGAAGCUUUAGCUGAUCUGGUUUUGUAUCUUUCGAAAUAGAUUUGACGAGGUUGCAGUUUCAGGUACUCAUAGCAUCUACAGAGUGGGCCAAUAUUCGAAAAGAGCACAAGACUUGAGGAUUUGAGCAUGCUUGUAGGCUAGAAGCAUCACCUUCAGACUUCGUCACUUGUUGACAGUCUAAAAUUGACCCUGAACUGAUAUGGGCACUUGCUAAGCAAGAUGUCAAAGACAAGCACCAGUUGAAGAUGAAAUAGAAAAUACAGCCGGUAAAGGCACCAACGAAGGAAAACCUUCAGGCGUCAAACAUGAUGGAAGGAUGUUGGAUGGUCAGCUUCUUCUUACUCAUUUCCCUGUGGGUGGCGGCGGUAGUGACGACUUGGUUGGAGGGGAUGCGGUAGGAGGAGGGCGCAAAGGGGCGGGAGGGGUGGCCGCCGGGGAGGCGGAGCUGUGCCGGCCACCGCAAGUGAGGAAGAGGAUGGAGCUUGGUGCAGCAGAAGGGGAGAGCCUCAAGGGGUUGGAGCGACGACUACUCCGCCCUCGCCAGCUUCCGCCGCCGCUCCUCCCUUGCGCAGCCGCCACCGUCCACGGGUUCGGGCGCCGUCUCGGAAAUUGAGGAGCCGGUCGGCCCGCUCAGGGGCGUGGCCAUCGAUGUCCAGCGUGCUGCUCGACGGCCGUUUCUGCAACGUCUGAGGAAGAAGAGAAGGAGGAUAUCAAGCAGGGGAUGUUGGGCUCUAAUGGUUGGAGGUAGCCAUGACUGCCAGUGGUAGCCAGAGAGGUCGUUUGGCUGCUUUGUAUAUGGCACAAGGAGGAAGGGAGCUGGAGAUGACGAUGGAACCAAACAAUCCUACAUCAACAACAGAACCAAACAAUCCUACAUCAACAACAGGUGCUCCCGAGCGAUGGCGGCGGCGGCAGGGAGCGCGCGCCUGAGCGAGGAGGGGGUUUGAAGUGUCCGUGCCAGCAACCUCACCGUCUCCAACCUAUCUGCAGAAGAGUGUGGAUUUUGUACACCCACGCAUGGGUGGUCUGGACCGGGAGGCCUGAGAGCUCCACUUCACCAGGCGUGGCCUAGCGCCAUCUGCCCCGAAAUUACUCCGACAUUUGACGCCGGGAAGAGAUCCCGCGACGUUUGACGCCGGGAAGCAGCUUCUCGCGCGCAAAGGGAGGCGGCUCGCCGGCUCGGGCGAGAAGGUACUGGGGAGGUGGCUCGCGCGAGAAGGGACUAGGGACGCGGUCUGCAUCCGGAAGAGAAGCAGGGGGCGGAGGUAGGAAGGGAGGUGACGACCUGGAGCCUGGUUUGUUCUUCGCAUUUAUUUUUCGAUCGGAUUUGGUUUCUUUUACGAUCUAGACUUGCUUCCACUUUUGCUGCUGUUCCUGGUACUUUGGUCAUGUAUCUGGAGGGAAUCUGUUGUUCGCGAUGUGUUCCGGUUCGACCCAGAUCCAGUAGUUGUUGUUCAGCUUUCAUCUUCAUGUUCCAUGCAUCACAUGCACACUAAUUUUUUCUUCCAUUUACUGAGAAAAACUACUUGAGUACUAUGUUUUUCUUUCAUGUAGCAUGCGUUUGCAGUCGCAUGUACAAGUUGACCAUCUUUUCCCUGUGGAAUUUCUGAUGUUGCACAUUUGUUUGUAUAUGCAUAUUUUUGGGGCAAAUCCGAAUGUGGUUUCUCAUGUUUUCCAGAUUCAUUAAUUUUGGAUUCAAAUGUGCAAUAUUCUAUACCUCUUAUCUUCUCUCUUUCACCUAGGAUUUGUAGCAUAUGGUUUUUGUAUCAGAUUAUUUCCAUGACGUGAGUCCCGAAUUGUUUCCAGGUUGAUGGUAUAAUUCUUGCAUAUUUGUUUCCAUGUUGAUUGAUUAGUUCACAAAAAAAAGGCGCACAGGUCUUCAAUGUAGAAUAUAAAAUUGGGCAGCGGCAUCUAGCAAUCUAUUCUGUGAAUGCUUUAUAUUCUAUCAAUGCAAAGAACACUAGCAAUCUAUUCUGUCUAUGCAAAGAACACUAUCAAUCUAUUCUAUCUAUGAAAAGAACACUAGCAAUCUAUUCUGUCAAUGCAAAGAACACUAGCAAUCUAUUAUGUCCAUGCAAAGAACACUAGCAAUCUGUCAAUGCAAAGAAAACUAGCAAUCAGUUUUCCAUUUUCUGUCUCUGUAGCUCAACUUGCUACACUGGUUCCACUUAGAAAAAGUAAAUAGGCAAAAAAAACAGUACGAAUCUCUUAUGUAAUUGCUAAUUUUCUCAGUCUAGCAACCAUCCAAAAAAAUAAGACGUUGGGAUACAUCUCUUCUGUCUACCUGUCUAUGCUAAUUUUCUGACUUUAGAUCGGACAUGGGGAUUCAGGUUACGUGAAACCCAGCGUUGGAUACGAUGGCCAUGGCGAUGCUGAAGAAGCAUACCCUGCCGAUGGGGAGGAGAACGAAGGGAUCGUGAUCUUUGUACAUGACGAGGUUGUUGCCAGCCAUGUCGUCGAGGAGGAGCAUGUGGCGGAGAACAUGGGCGCCGGUGGCGUCGAGCUUGCAGCUGUGAUUGUACAGCUUGAGGACGGCAACUCUUCUUCAUAUGCUGGGUACCAAGCGUCGACGAGGUGCUUAGCCACCGUCAACGUUUUGGCGACGAAGGCGUUUGGAGCAUCAUGCUGCGACGCGUCUGGGCUCGGCUCCUUUGAUUCUUAUUUGGUCGUCACGCACGAGUUUAUCGUCAGUUAGUGUUUUGAUUGCCAGUUAGUGAUGCCUUCCUCUCGUUCAGUACCAAGUUAUCAAAGUAGUUCAGGUGUUUAUUUUGGGAUCCUUGUUAGCCAAUGACAUUUAAGGAAGGAAAUCAUUCUUGUACUGGAUACUUGUGAUGUGUAAUAUCAUCCAUGUCUUAGAUGUGUUUAUCAAUGAUAUGCCUUGUCGGGAGAGAGGAAAAGCAGCAGCGGGGUGGCUUUUGCCCCUGUACAUGGGACCUACUACCUUUCCAGAAAAUGGAGGAAAUAGAUGAAAAUGGCUUCUCUCA